RNAcentral lists this unclassified non-coding RNA (449 nucleotides) under uncultured Clavulina. RNAcentral's name for it is "sequence contains ITS2". The stretch from base 1 to 154 matches the Rfam family "5.8S ribosomal RNA". The record is from RNAcentral. Lineage: Eukaryota; Fungi; Basidiomycota; Agaricomycetes; Cantharellales; Hydnaceae.
AACUUUCGGCAACGGAUCACUUGGCUCUCGCAUCGAUGAAGAACGCAGCGAAAUGCGAUAAGUAAUGUGAAUUGCAGAAUUCAGUGAAUCAUCGAACUUUUGAACGCACCUUGCGCUCCCUGGUAUUCCGGGGAGCACGCCUGUUCGAGUGUCGUAAAAUUCUCAAACCGGGAUGCUUUUUUGUUUCUCGGCUUGGUGUUGGGCUUUGUAGUUCCUUUGAUUGGGAUGGCUGGCCUUAAAAGCAUUAGCUGGCUUUUCAUGUGGCGUUGGUUCUACUCAGCGUGAUAAUGAUCUGACCGCCGAGGACAUCUUUCGAGAUGGCCAAUUCUCAUUUGGGCUGCUUCUAAUUUUGGUCGAGCAGAUUCUGAAUCUGUUCCACUUUUUCAGCUUUUGACCUCGAAUCAGGUGGGACUACCCGCUGAACUUAAGCAUAUCAAUAAGCGGAGGCU